GCCAGCACGUGAUGGUGGGGACUCAUGAGAGACUGCCGGGGUUAACGUCGGAGGAAGGUGGGGAUGACGUCAAAUCAUCAUGCCCCUUAUGUCCAGGGCUUCACACAUGCUACAAUGGUCGGUACAACGCGUGUGCGACACUGUGAGGUGAAGCUAAUCGCUCUAAAGCCGGUCGUAGUUCGGAUUGGGGUCUGCAACUCGACCCCAUGAAGUCGGAGUCGCUAGUAAUCGCAGAUCAGCAACGCUGCGGUGAAUACGUUCCCGGGCCUU
This 270-nucleotide ribosomal RNA is filed under the name uncultured Corynebacterium sp. RNAcentral describes it as "partial 16S ribosomal RNA". It matches the Rfam family "Bacterial small subunit ribosomal RNA", at positions 1117 to 1382 of the family's 1533-position model. The record is from RNAcentral. Lineage: Bacteria; Bacillati; Actinomycetota; Actinomycetes; Mycobacteriales; Corynebacteriaceae.